AACGCACAUUGCGCUCUCUGGUAUUCCGGGGAGCAUGCUCGUUUCAGAAUCAUUACAAUCUCUAAAGCAUUUUGGGUUUUCGGACACAAGAUGUCUUUGGAAGUUUGGGCCUUCUUUUGCAUCUCGGUGCAAAUGGUCUGAAAAGGAUUGUGUGCACGUCUCACCUUCUGGUGGAUGUCUCAAGUGCAACAGAUUUACUUCUUUACCAUUUGGAACAUUCUGCUGUAAAGGAAAGUGUUUUGUGUUCCCUACCAUUUUUACAGGUCCUGAAAGCUGAUGCUGGAUUGGAUCCUGAAGACUUGGUCUGAAAUCGAGCAAGAAAACCCGCUGAACUUAA
RNAcentral lists this unclassified non-coding RNA (337 nucleotides) under uncultured fungus. Its description in RNAcentral is "partial contains 5.8S ribosomal RNA, internal transcribed spacer 2, and large subunit ribosomal RNA". Lineage: Eukaryota; Fungi. The record is from RNAcentral.